GAAGAACGCAGCUAGCUGCGAGAAUUAAUGUGAAUUGCAGGACACAUUGAUCAUCGACACUUCGAACGCACUUGCGGCCCCGGGUUCCUCCCGGGGCUACGCCUGUCUGAGCGUCG
Molecule: ribosomal RNA, 116 nt
Filed under: Camarhynchus parvulus
Lineage: Eukaryota; Metazoa; Chordata; Aves; Passeriformes; Thraupidae
Description: 5.8S ribosomal RNA
Rfam family: 5.8S ribosomal RNA
About the family: 5.8S ribosomal RNA (5.8S rRNA) is a component of the large subunit of the eukaryotic ribosome. It is transcribed by RNA polymerase I as part of the 45S precursor that also contains 18S and 28S rRNA. Functionally, it is thought that 5.8S rRNA may be involved in ribosome translocation.
Source: Rfam by way of RNAcentral